Molecule: ribosomal RNA, 468 nt
Filed under: uncultured bacterium
Lineage: Bacteria
Description: partial 16S ribosomal RNA
Rfam family: Bacterial small subunit ribosomal RNA
Source: RNAcentral
GACGAACGCUGGCGGCGUGCUUAACACAUGCAAGUCGAACGGAAAGGCCCUGCUUUUGUGGGGUGCUCGAGUGGCGAACGGGGGAGUAACACGUGAGUAACCUGCCCUUGACUUUGGGAUAACUUCAGGAAACUGGAGCUAAUACCGGAUAGGAGCUCCUGCUGCAUGGUGGGGGUUGGAAAGUUUCGGCGGUUGGGGAUGGACUAGCCGCUUAUCAGCUUGUUGGGUGGGUAGUGGCUUACCAAGGCUUUGAGGGGUAGCCGGCCUGGGAGGAUGAGCGGCCACACUGGGACUGAGAUGAGGCCCAGACUACUACGGGAGGCAGCAGUGGGGAAUAUUGCACAAUGGGCGGAAGGAUGAUGCAGCACAGCCGCGUGGGGGAUGAGGGGCUUCGGUUAGUAAACCAAUUCCGCCUGUGACGGAGUGUGAGUGACGGUAAUGGGUGAAGAAGCACCGGCUAACUACGUG